Molecule: long non-coding RNA, 2770 nt
Organism: Aethalodelphis obliquidens (Pacific white-sided dolphin)
Lineage: Eukaryota; Metazoa; Chordata; Mammalia; Artiodactyla; Delphinidae
Exons: 2
Source: RefSeq, a predicted model, not a curated record
GAGUGGCGGGUAGGGGAGGGCUUUAGCAAUGCGACUGCAGCCUGUGACACUGGAAGAGACUAGCUGGAGAGGAGGGGAUGUGCUGUGUGUGCGCGUGCUCACAGGACGUAACCUCACCUGCUUACCCUUGAUUCCCCCCCAUUUGACCCAGGUUAAAAAGGGGUUUCCUUUUUGUUACCCUGUAACUUUUUAAGAUACCUUGGGGCUAGAGAUGACUUUGUGGGUUUAUUUGGGUUUUGUUUCUGAAAUUUCGUUGCUCCAGAUUCGCUAUUUAUAACGAUGUAUGUCAUCACCCUAUCCACCCUCCCCAUCCCUGACCUGCUCUCACUUCCCUUCGAUUAGAGAAGCACCCAUAGACCCAGCGAAGGGUCCUCUCAGAGCAAAGCGCUCUGGUGCCACAGGAGAGGAGGUUAGACGCCUCUGCCCUCCCUGCUGCAUUUGAUCUUGUCGAGGUUAACUUUUAACUUCAUGGAGUAUUGUGCACAGCUUCCUCCACUUUUUCAGCCUCAGCUCCAAGUGAAAUGUUACAUGAUUCCUCCAUCUAAGUGCUGUUCUUCCCGAAGGAACACUCCAGAUCAACAUCAGGCAUCUUGGAUCAGAAUCAAAGAUCUCAGAGGGGAGUGAGUUCAUCCUCAUGGGAUGGUAAGGGGUCGGGGGCUGCUGGGCUCUUGGACAGCUGGUUCUCAGAGAACCCCAUGAUCACCACCCAAGCUCCUGGGCUCUCUCGGCCCCUGGAGUUCAGAUGUCUUCUCUGUAAAGCCUCCCACUGAGUCAAGAGGAACUAGAAAGCACCUUUGGCUAUAACAGGACCCUCGUGCUUAUUAAACGGUUAUUUCCCCUUGGGAAAGCCCAGCAAAGCUGAUGAGUAUCGAAUGAGGUCCUAUGCCCUCCAUCCAUUUACUUCCUUCUGACCUUCUCCCAGGCACUCUCAUUUGUAGGUGAGCUUUUAGUUGGGGGCAGAUCUCCAUGUGCCUGGGGUGCUCCUUGCAGAGAUACCUCUUCAACCCCCAGGGCUGCCAUGUAGGUAAUCUGACUCCCUGUGGUUUGUCACCUGGAUGGUUGUGGCCAGCAGGGAGUGGUGCCCCCCACCUUGGAGCGUGGCACCCAAGCCUGAGGUUGCUUCUGAGCCACUUGAGGAUCUGACCUGGGAAAUCCAAUUUGGAGGCUUGAUGUGCGAUUCAACCUGGCCCCAACCUUGGAUCUGGUUUUCCUCGAUGGCCCCCCAGACUUUUCGCAGAUCUGCCACCCGCAAGCCUCCUCAGGAGUGGCAUCCUGCAGCUUCCUUCAGGAUCUCUACCCACCUUCUGAGCCGGCUACCUAAGCCUCAGAAUUGUGUCCUUCUGCGAUGCCGUCAGAGCAGUCUGGUCUGGCUAGGAGAGAAGACAGCCCUGUGUUGGGGGAGGUACAUUCCUGCGUCUUCUCACCAUCUCACCAGGAACUGGGGUCUUGGGAUGAGACACGGUAAAACCUGUAGAUAACUCCGCAAAUGGAAGGAAAGUGUGUGGAACCAUUUUGAAUGAAUGGAUUGGUUUCCUUGGCUCCCUGCAAACCUGGCCAAGCUCAGCUUCUGGAGCAGGAACAAGCACCAUCUCUGUGCCCAACCCACGGUAUUUAGGUCAGGGAGGAAUGGAGACCGCAUUCUUGGACUCUACUGGGGCUGUUGGAACCCUUCUGGAAGAGGCAGACAGGGGCCAAACAACUGCCCUGGCCCCAGGAAGGGGCUGUAGGUAGCUCUGAACGUCAGCAGCAAGACCGCGAAGUGACCGGAAGAACUUGGAACCAAGUGGCUCGUGGAGAAAACAAAUUUGACUUAGGAAGGGAUUAGUAGGAAUAAUGUUUGGACUUGAUUUCCCCACCUCCUAAUCAAGAAUGAAAAUUUGGAUCUGCUCCUAGGCGAGCCCAGCAUCUCCCAAGCUUUUCAGGCUGUCCUCUUGCAGCCUCCACAACCUUGGGCUCCCUCGGCUUCCUGCAUUUGGUCUGCUGAUCAUGUCGCCAUCAUGUGUACGAAAAGUGUAACCAGUUGUGUUCAGCUGAAGGUUGGGAGAGAAGAAAUUUCAGCAAUCCCCAGCAUUUGAGCUACUCAAGUGUUAGGGGCCAGAAGGGACAGUGUGUUUAAAACAACCCUUAGGAAGCUCUGGCCUUAGACCUGUGGCUCCCCCAGUACCAGAGACCUCACUUUUUUCUGGCAGAAAUGUGGGGAGGAGGCUCCAGCCUGAGCACAGGAAUCAAAGGGAAAACAUUGAAACUGCCCCCAAAUCUACCAGCCAUCUGCAGGCGGCUUUGUGACACAGCCCUGGCCUUCUUCUGAAACGUGCCACUUAUGAAGAGUGUCUCCAGAGGGACGAGGAGAAUCGGCUGUCCCCGGCGGGCAAUCCUUUGGAGGCUGGGGAGGAAACUUCCAGAGGAGCCCCUUCCCCUUACUCAGAGCCAUUUUGGGAGGAAGUGGGAACCAACAACCUUUGGGGGAAGGCCUGGUGCGGCUCAGCACACCCAAGCAUCAGGUCGGGUCAUUGUAAUAAAAAAAUGUGAAUGAAGUUUAGAUUCAGCUUUUGGGGGAGCAGGAUAAACGACCACCCCACCAUAUGUGUGUGACUUCUCAAUUUCCCACUGCAAUUUCCAUUUUUUUUAAAUAGGAAUUUUCAACCCCCUGUGCUUGUCUAAUGUCUGCUCGGAACAGUUCGAGACCCUGUUACUGUUUUAAGAUGCAUGCAUGUUAAGGUGAAUCUCCAACCCGAGGAAAAAAAUAAAAUUCAAAAACGGUUUGUGUACA